RNAcentral lists this ribosomal RNA (1372 nucleotides) under uncultured bacterium. RNAcentral's name for it is "16S ribosomal RNA". It matches the Rfam family "Bacterial small subunit ribosomal RNA", at positions 30 to 1392 of the family's 1533-position model. The record is from RNAcentral.
UGAACGCUGGCGGUAUGCUUAACACAUGCAAGUCGAACGGAAACGAUACUAGCUUGCUAGUAGGCGUCGAGUGGCGGACGGGUGAGUAACGCGUAGGAAUCUGCCUGAUAGUGGGGGAUAGCCCGAAGAAAUUCGGAUUAAUACCGCAUAAUCUAUUCGUAGUAAAGUGGGGGACUUUCGAGCCUCACGCUAUCAGAUGAGCCUGCGUAAGAUUAGCUUGUUGGUAGGGUAAAAGCCUACCAAGGCGACGAUCUUUAGCUGGUCUGAGAGGAUGAUCAGCCACAUCGGGACUGAGACACGGCCCGAACUCCUACGGGAGGCAGCAGUGGGGAAUAUUGGACAAUGGGGGCAACCCUGAUCCAGCAAUACCGCGUGUGUGAAGAAGGCCUGAGGGUUGUAAAGCACUUUCAAUUGUGAAGAAAAGUUAGCGGUUAAUAACCGUUAGCCUUGACGUUAACUUUAGAAGAAGCACCGGCUAACUCCGUGCCAGCAGCCGCGGUAAUACGGAGGGUGCAAGCGUUAAUCGGAAUUACUGGGCGUAAAGCGUGCGUAGGUGGUUUAUUAAGUCAGAUGUGAAAGCCCCGGGCUUAACCUGGGAACUGCAUUUGAAACUGGUCAACUAGAGUAUGGUAGAGGAAAGUGGAAUUUCUGGUGUAGCGGUGAAAUGCGUAGAUAUCAGAAAGGAACAUCAAUGGCGAAGGCAGCUUUCUGGACCAAUACUGACACUGAGGUACGAAAGCGUGGGUAGCAAACAGGAUUAGAUACCCUGGUAGUCCACGCCGUAAACGAUGAUAACUAGCCGUUGGGGGGAUUUACCCUUUAGUGGCGAAGCUAACGCGUUAAGUUAUCCGCCUGGGGAGUACGGCCGCAAGGUUAAAACUCAAAGGAAUUGACGGGGACCCGCACAAGCGGUGGAGCAUGUGGUUUAAUUCGAUGCAACGCGAAGAACCUUACCUGGUCUUGACAUCCUGCGAACUUUCUAGAAAUAGAUUGGUGCCUUCGGGAACGCAGUGACAGGUGCUGCAUGGCUGUCGUCAGCUCGUGUCGUGAGAUGUUGGGUUAAGUCCCGUAACGAGCGCAACCCCUAUCCUUAUUUGCCAGCACAUCAUGGUGGGAACUAUAAGGAGACUGCCGGUGAUAAACCGGAGGAAGGCGGGGACGACGUCAAGUCAUCAUGGCCCUUACGACCAGGGCUACACACGUGCUACAAUGGGAAGGACAAAGAGCCGCGAAGCCGCGAGGUGUAGCUAAUCUCAUAAACCUUUUCGUAGUCCGGAUUGGAGUCUGCAACUCGACUCCAUGAAGUCGGAAUCGCUAGUAAUCGUAGAUCAGAAUGCUACGGUGAAUACGUUCCCGGGUCUUGUACACACCG